Molecule: ribosomal RNA, 351 nt
Filed under: uncultured soil bacterium
Lineage: Bacteria
Description: bacterial SSU rRNA
Rfam family: Bacterial small subunit ribosomal RNA
Source: RNAcentral
AGAAUCAACGCUGGCGGCGCGCUUAACACAUGCAAGUCGAACGAGAAAGGGAGCAAUCCUGAGUAAAGUGGCGUACUGGUGAGUAACACGUGGAUAUCUACCUCUUGGUGGGGAAUAACCUGGGGAAACCUGGGCUAAUACCGCAUAAGUUCGUGAGAAGAAAGGCGCAAGUCGCCGAGAGAGGAGUCCGCGGUCGAUUAGGUAGUUGGCGGGGUAAGAGCCCACCAAGCCAAAGAUCGAUAGCCGGCCUGAGAGGGCACGACGGCCGACACUAGGCGACUGAAACACGGGCCAGACUCCGUACGGGAGGCAGCAGUGGGGAAUCUUGCACGAAGUAGGGGGAAACCCUGA